ACGAACUUUUGUUUUCUACUAAACCACUAGCUAGCUUCCGCUGCGGCCACCGCCUGCCCAUUUUCACUUCACCUUUGAAAUUGGAAGAGACCUAUCUGCCUCUUCAAAUAACAACUGAAAUCGAAGAAGGCGUCGGAUCCGGUGGAAGUAACCGUCGGAAAGGAACAAGCUGGGGCUGCUUCUUCAAGUAGGCUAAUGAGUUGUACCAGAUCCAGAUCAGGAAGAUUAUUUAUGCCAACAUUGGAAUUUUGGCGCAAUGAAAGAGCAAUAUACAAUGUGGAUAGAACGGUUACUGGGUUUCAGGAAAGCAUACGGCUGGAAGAGCUAAGAAAGGGAAGUGGAUCAGAGCCUCCAAGAAAGAGAUAAGUAAAUCAUGAAGCUCACUUCUUCCAUCAUAAGGAACUUCUUUCUCUCUUCGUUUCUGGCCAAAAUUAUAUGGCCUGAGUUCGCGAUGUUAAAAUGCAUUUGGCAUCAAUGGGCUUGGAAAAUACCAUUGCCCGGGAUAAAAAUUCCCCGAGCCAAGAUCGUGCAAAGACCAUGAUCUUUUUGUGCCAUCAUAUCGAUGAGGCACUAAAAUGCAGUACGUGACGUUGGAAUCCGCACUUGAAUUAUGGGAGAGAUUGAAAGAAAGAUAUGAUCACUUGAGGCUGACUUUGUUGCCAAAGGCACGAAGUGAAUGACAAAGCCUACGAUUUCAGGAUUUUAAAACAAUCCAAAAAUAUAAUUCUGUCAUGUUUAAAAUAACAUCACAGCUACGCCACUAGGGCGAAAAUAUAUGUGAAUUUGAUAUGAUGGAGAAAAUUUUCUCCACUUUUCAUGCCUCUAACAUAGUUUUGCAGCAGCAGUAUCGCGAAAGAAGCUUUUAGAAAUAUUCUGAGCUGAUCACCUGUUUUUUGCUGGCCGAACAAAACAAUGAAUUGCUAUUGAAAAAUCACGAAUCUCGGCCGACAGGUGCAAAUCCAUUUUCAGAGGCAAAUGCAAUACAACCGAAAAAUCCGGUGCGUGGUCGUGGGGAGGUCAGAAAUCAAUAAAUUGAUCGCGAUCAAAGCAAAAUCGCGGACAGGGCCGGACAAACGCAUAUGGUCAUAAUAAUUAUCAAAACAGGCCCCGAUAUGUGUCAAAUCGGCGUUGUAAUGAUAGAAGGUCUUACAGACCUCAACAAAGGCUCAACGCUAGGAGAAACAUAAACAAUGACGAGAAAUGCACCCGGUGUGAAAUCAAAGGCCAUUGGGCCCAUGUUUCUCGCAGAGCGAGGCUCUUGGCUGAACUGUAUCAGGCCUUAAAAAAAAAGGCAAGGAAGAGUUGCUACCGAAACAAACCACGCUGCCUACGAUGAUACAUUUGACGAUGUGAUGAAUAAAAAUAUCACGCACCUGGAUGCCAAUGGUCUGCUUGACAUAGCUGAUUAAAUGAUAAAAUAUUGUUGUCUCUCUUUUGUUAUUUUACUGUUUUAUGCCCUUUUUUUGUAUUACCCCCUAUAAUAUAAGUCUGUUUUGAUUAUGUUAAUAAUACAUGUCUUUUAUUAUUUUUACCUUAUUGCAAAGAUAUGGAUGCCAAAUAUUUU
Andrographis paniculata is the source of this 1564-nucleotide RNA transcript. It is a transcript of the gene named kinetochore-associated protein KNL-2 homolog, with no coding region annotated. The record is from RefSeq and is a predicted model, not a curated record. Lineage: Eukaryota; Viridiplantae; Streptophyta; Magnoliopsida; Lamiales; Acanthaceae. The transcript is spliced from 6 exons.